CCCUGGGUGGCUCAUUGGUAAAGGAUCUGCCUGCCAAUGCAGAAGACACGGGUUCAAUCCCUGGUCCAGGAA
This 72-nucleotide transfer RNA is filed under the name Bos taurus (domestic cattle). It matches the Rfam family "tRNA". Rfam says of the family: Transfer RNA (tRNA) molecules are approximately 80 nucleotides in length. RNAcentral also lists the same sequence under 4 other names. Lineage: Eukaryota; Metazoa; Chordata; Mammalia; Artiodactyla; Bovidae. The record is from Rfam by way of RNAcentral.